Molecule: ribosomal RNA, 493 nt
Filed under: uncultured bacterium
Lineage: Bacteria
Description: partial 16S ribosomal RNA
Rfam family: Bacterial small subunit ribosomal RNA
Source: RNAcentral
AUUGAACGCUGGCGGCAUGCUUUACACAUGCAAGUCGAACGGUAACAGGUUAAGCUGACGAGUGGCGAACGGGUGAGUAAUGCAUCGGAACGUGCCCGAUCGUGGGGGAUAACGCAGCGAAAGCUGCGCUAAUACCGCAUACGAUCUGAGGAUGAAAGCGGGGGACCGUAAGGCCUCGCGCGAUCGGAGCGGCCGAUGUCAGAUUAGGUAGUUGGUGGGGUAAAGGCUCACCAAGCCAACGAUCUGUAGCUGGUCUGAGAGGACGACCAGCCCCACUGGGACUGAGACACGGCCCAGACUCCUACGGGAGGCAGCAGUGGGGAAUUUUGGACAAUGGGCGAAAGCCUGAUUCAGCAAUGCCGCGUGCAGGAAGAAGGCCUUCGGGUUGUAAACUGCUUUUGUACGGAGCGAAAAGGUCUCCUCUAAUACAGGGGGCUCAUGACGGUACCGUAAGAAUAAGCACCGGCUAACUACGUGCCAGCCGCCGCCGUAA